GGUACGGGUGCGUAACACGUGUGCAACCUGCCUUUAUCUGGGGGAUAGCCUUUCGAAAGGAAGAUUAAUACUCCAUAAUAUAUUGAACGGCAUCGUUUAAUAUUGAAAGCUCCGGCGGAUAGAGAUGGGCACGCGCAAGAUUAGCUAGUUGGUGAGGUAACGGCUCACCAAGGCGAUGAUCUUUAGGGGGCCUGAGAGGGUGAUCCCCCACACUGGUACUGAGACACGGACCAG
This 234-nucleotide ribosomal RNA is filed under the name uncultured Flavobacteriales bacterium. RNAcentral describes it as "partial 16S ribosomal RNA". It matches the Rfam family "Bacterial small subunit ribosomal RNA", at positions 100 to 334 of the family's 1533-position model. Lineage: Bacteria; Pseudomonadati; Bacteroidota; Flavobacteriia; Flavobacteriales. The record is from RNAcentral.